RNAcentral lists this microRNA precursor (93 nucleotides) under Pelobates cultripes (western spadefoot toad). The record is from RNAcentral. Lineage: Eukaryota; Metazoa; Chordata; Amphibia; Anura; Pelobatidae.
CUCCAGAUGUUGCUGAACUACAACUCCCAUGAUUCCAUGAAUGAAAUAGAUCGGUUGAGAAUCAUGGGAAUUGUAGUUCAGCAACAUCUGGAG